This 497-nucleotide ribosomal RNA is filed under the name uncultured bacterium. Its description in RNAcentral is "partial 16S ribosomal RNA". It matches the Rfam family "Bacterial small subunit ribosomal RNA", at positions 28 to 507 of the family's 1533-position model. The record is from RNAcentral.
GAUGAACGCUGGCGGCGUGCCUAAUACAUGCAAGUCGAGCGAGCGGACGAGAAGCUUGCUUCUCUGAUGUUAGCGGCGGACGGGUGAGUAACACGUGGAUAACCUACCUAUAAGACUGGGAUAACUUCGGGAAACCGGAGCUAAUACCGGAUAAUAUUUUGAACCGCAUGGUUCAAAAGUGAAAGACGGUCUUGCUGUCACUUAUAGAUGGAUCCGCGCUGCAUUAGCUAGUUGGUAAGGUAACGGCUUACCAAGGCAACGAUGCAUAGCCGACCUGAGAGGGUGAUCGGCCACACUGGAACUGAGACACGGUCCAGACUCCUACGGGAGGCAGCAGUAGGGAAUCUUCCGCAAUGGGCGAAAGCCUGACGGAGCAACGCCGCGUGAGUGAUGAAGGUCUUCGGAUCGUAAAACUCUGUUAUUAGGGAAGAACAUAUGUGUAAGUAACUGUGCACAUCUUGACGGUACCUAAUCAGAAAGCCACGGCUAGCUACGUG